Molecule: unclassified non-coding RNA, 178 nt
Filed under: soil metagenome
Description: partial internal transcribed spacer 1
Source: RNAcentral
AUAAACCUUUGAGGGUUGAGCUGGCGUUUAUUCGCAUGUGCUUGCCCUCUCAUCCUUUAUACACCUGUGCACUUUGAAGGGAGACAUUAGUAGACAUUCACUUGUCGAAGGUAUCUCCCUUUACACUACAUACUCUAAUGAUUACUUUGGAUGUUUAACGCUUAACAGCAUUUAAUUA